This 468-nucleotide ribosomal RNA is filed under the name uncultured bacterium. RNAcentral describes it as "partial 16S ribosomal RNA". It matches the Rfam family "Bacterial small subunit ribosomal RNA", at positions 28 to 507 of the family's 1533-position model. The record is from RNAcentral.
GACGAACGCUGGCGGCGUGCUUAACACAUGCAAGUCGAACGGAAAGGCCCUGCUUUUGUGGGGUGCUCGAGUGGCGAACGGGUGAGUAACACGUGAGUAACCUGCCCUUGACUUUGGGAUAACUUCAGGAAACUGGGGCUAAUACCGGAUAGGAGCUCCUGCUGCAUGGUGGGGGUUGGAAAGUUUCGGCGGUUGGGGAUGGACUCGCGGCUUAUCAGCUUGUUGGUGGGGUAGUGGCUUACCAAGGCUUUGACGGGUAGCCGGCCUGAGAGUGUGACCGGCCACAUUGGGACUGAGAUACGGCCCAGACUCCUACGGGAGGCAGCAGUGGGGAAUAUUGCACGAUGGGCGGAAGCCUGAUGCAGCAACGCCGCGUGCGGGAUGACGGCCUUCGGGGUGUAAACCGCGUUCGCCUGUGACGAAGCGUGAGUGACGGUAAUGGGUAAAGAAGCACCGGCUAACUACGUG